GAUGAAGAACGUAGCGAAAUGCGAUAAGUAAUGUGAAUUGCAGAAUUCAGUGAAUCAUCGAAUCUUUGAACGCACAUUGCGCCCGCCAGUAUUCUGGCGGGCAUGCCUGUCUGAGCGUCAUUUCAACCCUCAUGCCCCUAGGGCGUGGUGUUGGGGAUCGGCCAAAGCCCGCGAGGGACGGCCGGCCCCUAAAUCUAGUGGCGGACCCGUCGUGGCCUCCUCUGCGAAGUAGUGAUAUUCCGCAUCGGAGAGCGAUGAGCCCCUGCCGUUAAACCCCCAACUUUCCAAGGUUGACCUCAGAUCAGGUAGGAAUACCCGCUGAACUUAAGCAUAUCAAUAAUCGGAGGA
Molecule: unclassified non-coding RNA, 348 nt
Filed under: soil metagenome
Description: partial contains 5.8S ribosomal RNA, internal transcribed spacer 2, and large subunit ribosomal RNA
Rfam family: 5.8S ribosomal RNA (bases 1-120)
Source: RNAcentral